Molecule: ribosomal RNA, 133 nt
Filed under: uncultured bacterium
Lineage: Bacteria
Description: partial 16S ribosomal RNA
Source: RNAcentral
GGUACCGUCAAUAACCCAGGGUAUUAACCUGACUUAUCUUCUUCCCACUCGACAGAGUUUUACGAUCCGAAAACCUUCUUCACUCACGCGGCGUCGCUGCGUCAGGGUUGCCCCCAUUGCGCAAAAUUCCUCA